GCGAUAGUGGCGGAAUGGCAGACGCGCACGUUUAAGGGACGUGUGGGAGACCAUACGGGUUCAAGUCCCGUCUGUCGCACCA
Molecule: transfer RNA, 82 nt
Filed under: Clostridium sp.
Lineage: Bacteria; Bacillati; Bacillota; Clostridia; Eubacteriales; Clostridiaceae
Also listed under: 14 other names
Description: tRNA-Leu
Rfam family: tRNA
About the family: Transfer RNA (tRNA) molecules are approximately 80 nucleotides in length.
Source: RNAcentral